GCGGCACGCCGACGGGGGAGCCGAAUUAAUACGCAUGCGCCGGCCGGCCGCGCAGCCCGCAGAGCCGAGUCGCCGAGCCACGUAGACAGGGGAAUCCAGAUACUGCCAGAAAAAGUGUCAAGGGUAUUAUGGCAAGCGCAGCCCAAAAUGACAUAAAUGAGCGGAAGAACUUGCAUGUCCCACAAAACACAGAGGUCCAAUAUUGGGACAGGUUUCAAAGCUGAGCUGAGCUAUGCAGCUGUGUACGAUUCUACAUUUUUGAGGGUUUUGCCAACGUUUAUGAGACCACCUGGAAAAAGACUCCAAAUGCCACAAUAAAUUUUGUGUGAAUAAUUUAAUAGCGCUGGGGAGGGGUGGGCAGAGCUUGGAAGGACAACAAAGCUGCAUCUGCGGCCGGUUUUUAACGGGAGGAGUGGGCUCUGUCCAAAGAAACCCAUUCACCUACUCCUGAAUUCUUGGCUCACAGGAAGAGGCUGUAUAAACCAAGAGUCAAACAGAACCUAACAUUUAUCUCGCAGCCAUAAUAUUAGUAUACAGGAUAUCAGCCACCGGAAGGGAUAUGGGAUAAAUUUGAUUCAGUUCACAUUUAAAGACAAACCACCAUAAUUCAUACAUUACAAAGCAAAUACAGGAACUUAAACGCAGCCAUCCUUCGAGAUUCACACUUUUCCUGGAUUUUGCUAUGCAGUCCUCUAGCGAAGAAAUGUGUACUAAAAGGUAUAGGCUACAGUUUGCAAAAAGGCGUGAAAAUAACAUACAAAAAUGCUUUCUACGAGGAGGAGAAAUUGCUUUGCAAAACUGAGCGUAUUACACCAAACUGCAUACAGAUCUGUGUAUAUUAGGAUAAAUUAUCAACACGAAACUGAUGGAAUUUCACGAGGGAAUAAUAAUUAAAAAAGAAAAAGCAAGCUGAUGUGGAGAACUGAGCAUAACACUGAAAAACCGAGAAAAUGAAAUUGAGAGAUUUGCCAUGCCCUGGUCAUGAAAAAGGGGAAGGACUGGUGGUGUGGUCUUCUGCAUCCCCACUUUAUAUGUAUGUAUUUCAUGUGUACUUUAAUGAACUGAAUAAUGAGUCAUGGGGGUGUGGGGAGUGUGUGCAUAAACUUAGCAGGGCUUAUCUUUUCAGUUGCUAAUCUGUUAAUGUUGUUAAUACUGUUUUGUAGAACGCCACACUGACUUGUUAAUCAUAUGACUUUUGCUGUAAUUGUGACGCUAAGCUUAUUUUUAGUUGCUGCUUUGUUAACAGUGCUUCAUAGACAGCAAUUGUUUUAUUGAUGCUCGUCAAUUAUUUUAUAUUAAUUAUGCUGCCUUUGUGAUGUUCUAUGAUGUUAUUGUUAGUUGUUUGUAAGCUGUUCUGGGAUUCAUUCAAAUGGAAAGAGGCAUAGAAAUACAAUAAAUCAAAAUCAAUUUGCAUUCUGAAAUUUAACAGGCAUUGUCCAUACCUGUCGGAAGUUUAUCUGUAUAACCUCAAAAGGCUUGGAAACUUCCUGUUGUAAUGUGGUUUUAAUUUCCUAUAUGCUAGUAGGGGCCGCAUCAUGCAUUUGGGAUUAACCAGUUUGGAAUUAGAAACAUGGACACCAAAUCCCAAUGUUUUCAGGAAUCUGAACGGAUUCUUGUACUCGCUGAACACCAAGGGAGAAUGGACAAAACAUUGUACUAGUUUGAGAUAGGGUCAAUUUUUUUGGAAGUCAAUGGAGCACCAUCUUUGUUCAUAGUACUUGUGGUGGACUUGGCAAUAAGACGGCUUGGUGUACUGGAUUACAAACAAUCUCCUAGUUUUUCCAAGAUGAGGGGAGUGACAGCUCCGGUUGUUUGCAUAAGGAAGUGGAGUUUGAGGCGGGGGAGGGAGGAAGGGACAGACAGAGAAAUGGGAUUUGGGCACUUUACCUGUGUAUUCCUCUUCAUCCUCCAGUAUCUCCAUCUGAGUUUGGAAGAAAGCUGCUUUUGAGGCUUCCAUGUCAGAAGAUGGCAUCUCCAGCAUCCUUGACCUGGAGUGAUGGGAGCUGGAAUUGGAAUAUGGGCUCUCAGCUGUUCCAUAUAAAAUGAGGCUCCAUUCUUUUAACUUUCCUGCAAAAGAUUCGGCAUUCAUAAAUAUUGCCCUGGUUUGCACAUUAAUAUUAAGCAACAGUGCAUUAAACUAUGGUUUAUAUGAUAGUCUGGAGCCUGUCCAGGGAUUUGUUUACUCCCAACAAACCACAAUCUUAAACCACGGCUUGUUGUUACCUUACAACUUUUUAAAAAUGAUUAAUUGGCAUUGAAGUGUGAACCUAGCACUGUUCUUUAACUAUGGUUUGCUUGGCCGCCCCAACUCAGGUAUUCACCAAGCUAUAAAGCACGAGGCAAGAGCAGCUAAAAAACAAUCCAAGUUUGGAGGAACAAACCAUAGUUUGAUUGAUUGUCUGUGGGACAAAUCAUGGUUAACUCAUGCUUUGUUAAACAAACCAUAGUUUAAACAAUUUUUGAAACAGCUUUUCCCAGUCUGGUGCCCUCCAGAUGUUUUGGGUUACACUCUCAUUAUCCUAGGCCAGCAUGGCCAAUGGUGAGAGAUGAUGGAAUUAACAGUCCAAAACAUCUGGAGGGCACCAGGUUGGGGAAGGCUGCCUUAAAUGAACCAACGCUUAGCAUUAUGUAUGAUCCAGGUCAUUAAGUCUAUUAACUGUUAAUAAUCAGUCAUCUGCCUUAACUGAUGGAAAUGCUCCCAGGUACCACCUACUAAUGGAUUAUUUGACAAGGUUGUAAUGGACACAAUUACUUAAAAUGGAUAAAACACCUAUGCAAAUUAAGGCGGCUUUGCAUCCUAAUUUCAAGGGUGAUUUCUUGUGAAAAUGAUCCCUAUUUAGGUAAAUAUUCGCUCCAAAAGGGAGAUGUGUAAAAGUCUUGCUAGAACUAAUCCUAUUCUGUUGUUGAUCUGUUUUAAUGAAUUUGAUCCUUGAUGACUCUGAAAAGAGAAUGUGGAAGAGGAAAUUGGCAGUUACGUUUGAAAUGAGUGCUUAAUGAAAUCUUGGUAAAUGUGUUACUCUUUUGAAAUGUUUGAAUGCUCAAAUAAAGUGGUUGAAACAUCAA
Molecule: long non-coding RNA, 3063 nt
Organism: Podarcis muralis (Common wall lizard)
Lineage: Eukaryota; Metazoa; Chordata; Lepidosauria; Squamata; Lacertidae
Source: RefSeq, a predicted model, not a curated record